This 557-nucleotide ribosomal RNA is filed under the name Bacillus paramycoides. RNAcentral's name for it is "bacterial SSU rRNA". It matches the Rfam family "Bacterial small subunit ribosomal RNA", at positions 337 to 873 of the family's 1533-position model. The record is from RNAcentral. Lineage: Bacteria; Bacillati; Bacillota; Bacilli; Caryophanales; Bacillaceae.
UCCUACGGGAGGCAGCAGUAGGGAAUCUUCCGCAAUGGACGAAAGUCUGGCGGAGCAACACCGCGUGAGUGAUGAAGGCUUUCGGGUCGUAAAACUCUGUUGUUAGGGAAGAACAAGUGCUAGUUGAAUAAGCUGGCAUCUUGACGGUGCCUACCCAGAAAACUCACGGCUAUCUAUGUGACUGACACCGCGGUAAUACGUAGUUGGCAAGCGUUAUCCGGAAUUAUUGGGCGUAAAGCGCGCGCAGGUGGUUUCUUAAGUCUGAUGUGACAGCCCUCGGCUCACCCGUGGAGGGUCAUUGGAAACUGGGAGACUUGAGUGCAGAAGAGGAAAGUGGAAUUCCAUGUGUAGCGGUGAAAUGCGUAGAGAUAUGGAGGAACACCAGUGGCGAAGGCGACUUUCUGGUCUGUAACUGACACUGAUUAGCGAAAGCGUGGGGAGCAAACAGGAUUAGAUACCCUGGUAGUCCACGCCGUAAUCGAUGAGUGCUAAGUGUUAGAGGGUUUCCCCCUUUAGUGCUGAAGUUAACGCAUUAAUCCCCCGCCCGGUUUCCGCCU